Cimex lectularius (bed bug) is the source of this 565-nucleotide long non-coding RNA. RefSeq lists it as uncharacterized. The transcript is spliced from 2 exons. The record is from RefSeq and is a predicted model, not a curated record. Lineage: Eukaryota; Metazoa; Arthropoda; Insecta; Hemiptera; Cimicidae.
ACGUAAUUUUUGUUUAUUAUUUUAUUAGUGCUGCGGAAUCUUUAAUCAAACAUUUUUAACAUGUUACGUUUAUGGUUUUCGAUUUACCCCCCACCCCACCCCCUUCAACAUCAAUAUGUUUUUCGAUCAAAUAACUUACUCGUGCUAAAAAGCCGAUAUAUGCGGCGUUACCGAGAAGACUCCUGCCUACUAGCAUCGGGAAAUCUUGUUCAACUUUCCGAUAUCCCCAUUGUUUUGCGGUCUGUGGAUUAUUUUCUUUGUUCUAAAUUUAGUUACGUUCGUAGGCAUAUGUUGGAGAUUUCAGCGCUCAGGAGAAAAGCUUGCAAAGAAAGCGUUCUUCGUCUUGCUCAGUGAUGUAAGUGAAGGAUUACCGAGUGGGGAUGAUUCUAAGGAAAGGAGAAGAGGUAACAGAUGUUUAACGUCGUACCCAGGACGGGAAAGCUGGUUGAAUAAUCUGUCAAACAAAGGCUUUAUCUUGUUCGUCGGUCGAAUGAACGUUGAAAAGAAACGUUGCGGCCGGAAUUCUUCAGGAAGUUAUGGGUUCAGGUAUUAAAACAUUUCUCAA